RNA transcript from Cornus florida, 4187 nucleotides. RefSeq lists it as uncharacterized. The record is from RefSeq and is a predicted model, not a curated record. The transcript has 4 exons. Lineage: Eukaryota; Viridiplantae; Streptophyta; Magnoliopsida; Cornales; Cornaceae.
UGGACCUUAAAAAGCGUGGUUAGUUUAGGGACUCUUUUGAAUCUCGAGAGUCGAAAACAAUGCCCGCGAAAGUCGUCCUUCGCACUGGAAACUACUCGUCUGAAACUCCACUCAUCGCCGGAGCUGGUGAACGUGACCGGCGAAAAGCUUGGAAAAAAUGGGAGCUGCUUGUUAGGAAUUUGAGUCUGGUGACGGUAAACUUCUCAUUGAUCGGAUUUUACGUUGUCUUCAGGAGUUCGAAGCUGAAUCACCACAUAGGGUUCCACUCGAUAUGGCUUGCGGUCCUGCUUUUCAUCGUCCAUCUCGCUGUCACUGUAAUUCUCCGCAUGAGGCGACCCUUUCGCUCCCUCGGAUUUUUCUCCGGCGUGAUCCUCAAGUCCAUCACUGACCUUCUCACCGUGUUUUUCACCGGGUUAUUGACAUCUCAGGUAACUCGGUCAAGACCUCACUACUUCUCUCCUUCUCCUGGAGUCGAUUACUUUCUCUUCAACUGCACCGGUCCUUUAGGCGUUUCAUCCCUGGCUGAACUGAGCUCCACUGGGGAGCAAAUUUUAGUUCCAUCAUCCUUCCUCGCAACAUUGAACCCUAACGCUAACCCUAACCCUAACCUACUUGACUUGAUCUUAGCUGGGUGUAGCCAGCCGAUUUUAGUUCCACCAUCCUCUCUCCAAACAUUGAUCACUGAACCUAACCCUAACCCUAACCCUAACCCUAACCCUAACCCUAACCUACUUGACUGGCAGAUCGUUGUGGCACUGGCUCUAGUGGCUCUGUAUUCCCUGACCAUGGCCACCCUUCUCCGCCCCGGGCUGUCGUUUACCCUAACCCCUGUAUCACUCUAUAUCUCCUUCUUUUUCUUAUUUGCUCUCCACGCGGAUUCGGAGUUCCCCCGCUUUUAUUUUGGGCCUUUAUCCAUCUACUCCAUUCUCUUGAUUGGUAUCAAAAAUUAUAUUGAGUAUCGUGCCGACGAUGCUCCAGACACACAGACUCUGGCACAGAGAUGUGAGUUAACUUCUGUGCGAAGGACCGCGUUGCGCGCACAGAGACAGCUCCAAGCAUGAGCAUUAAUGGCUGGGAAAUGAUGAUUCCUCUCGCAUUUUUUGGGGUAACUAUAUAUGAAUGACCACCUCUUAUUAUCUUCUUUGGAAUCUAGAAAUUUUUUAUUAAUGAUCCAAUUCCAAUCAUAUACUAAAAAGAAAAUCGAAAUCUUCCAUACAAUUGUAAUCAGUCCAAUUGCACCCAUAUGCUAAAAAGAAAACUGAAAUCUGCUAUACAAUUAUAUGUUAUGCUUCAAACUGUGUUUGUAAAACAAAAGGUCUGAGAAAUGGUAACAUUUCAGAAAGUCAUCAUAAAUACUGAGAAGAGUCUUCACUUUGUAUGUAGAAAUUAGUGUAUAGCAUUCAAUGGUACUCUAGCCUAGGUUAUGCAUGUAUUUCCAGCAAGGUUGCAAUUAAGAUGGCAAAUACCCAUCAUCGUUGGUAGCACAGCUGCGAGGUUGCAACUAGGAUGCUUCAGAAAGUCAGCUGGUUUUGUCUGUGGUUAUGAUCAUUGAGACCAGUCCAAUGAGCCUGCUCGGUUUUGUAGGGGGUCACUCCCGAUUAUGUUGUACAUUGUUUAAUCAAACUACCCUAAGGUUUGAUUGACUUUACUCUCUAUACCCCUGCAGUCAAUUUCUUGUUACGCCAGUUAAAGUCAAGAAAAAAAAUUCACCAAAAUGCCAAAACUACCCUUGUUGGUAGCAGAACAUUGUUUGUUUCUCUCUCUCCUCUGUACAUGCCUCUUUCACUUUCCUCUCUCUUCCUCUACUUUUCUCUCUUUCUUUUCCCUCUCUAUGUAAUUAUUUACAUCAUUACAUCUUUCUGAAUAUAUUGGCAUCUUCACUCUAUAAUAUUAGCACCAAAUCUAACGCGCCAUAACACGCAUAUAUAUUUAUAAAUGUCAAAAACGAAUGAAAAUCAAAAAAAAAAAAAACUAUUUUAUCUCUGAAUAUAUCGCCAUCUUCACACGGUUGUAUAUAUAUAACAAAUGAAAAUCGAAAUAAUUUUUUUUGAUUUUUUUUUCUUUUCAAAUCCAUAGGUUUGAUUGACUUAGAACAAUCCUAUAUAAUUAUGUUUGAUAAUAUAUAUCAAUAUAUAUAUCACAACAUUUGGCCUGAUUCAACAACUCAGUGAAUCAUGGCAUUUGGCUUGACUCAACAAAUCAGUGGAUGAACCCACUAUCACAUCAUUUGGAUUGAUAUAACGAUGAUUCAAACCCAGUUUCACAAAAAAGAAGAUUCAACCCUAAUUUCACAAGAAGAAGAUUGAGACUGUUCUCACCAUCGCCGCCUUCUUCCCGACCACAACUCGAGAUCAAUCUCAAUGGCAGCCAAAAACCUUCUUGUCCUUUCACUGGUGAAGCAUGGUGGCGGCGCAAGGGCAUGUGUGUAUUUUCUUCUAUGUGUACUGGGGUGUAUGUAUGCACUUGUGCUGGUGUGUGUGCUGGUGGAGGUAGAUAGAGAGAGAUGGUGCGACUGUGGAAACUGGAGGGGGGUGGAGAGAGAUGAAUAAUAUUAAAUUGUAUUAAAUUUGAAAGUAUUUUAGUAAUUAACCUGGUAAGAUGAGGGCAUUCAAGUAAAUGCAUACAAAAUUUUAGUUCAAGUAACAGGUCGCUUGUUUGAUAGGGGUGUCGGAAUAAUUCUGCAAAAACUUUAAUUUGAGGGUAAUUAGAUUAAACCUCAAGGGAGGUGAGAGUAAUUUACCCUAAAUUGAAUCUUUUUAUUUUAAGUGACGCAGAAGAUGUAUAUGUGUUAAGUGCCAAGUAUAUUUAAAUGUGGCAUUAAACUAUUAGCAUUUCAAUUUGGAUCAAUUUUUGGCUUUGGGUUUCCCAAGUGACGGUCAUUGUCAUUCCUUAAUUUCACCUUCCAGGUUCAGGUUUUUAACUAUAAACUUAAAGCAGUACAUAAUAUUCUCUAUGCUAUACAAUUCUUCUGCAUGUUUUGUCUGGUAAGUUGAGCAUUCGGCUUUAUUUAUGUCUUCGUUAAAUCAUCUGCCAUGUAGGUCUUUGUAUAUAUAGAUUUAUGUAUGGAAAAUCUUUAGAUAAGCUCAAAGACCAGUUACCCUUGAUUGAAAUUGGUUGUUACAGCUUUGUAUCUGGAGAGCUGACAGGUUGCAGAUCAGAAGUGGAACCUUGGGCAAUGGAGUUGGUGGUGUACCCAGUUGAUGAACAUUUUUUGGUUGAAUUGUUUCAUGAGUGUGCAUUUUGGUUUUAAAGAACAUACAAUGUGAAUAGCAAUCAUACUCUUUGGAUGUCUUUUAUGUUCCAUGGAAUUUCUGAAUCCUCUCUCUUGUAUAUAAAUACUUGAGCAUUCCACAUUUACUUUGUGGUUUAUGGGGGUCUAAACUUGAUCAUCUUCAUAUAUGGCAAUGCACGACAGUUACUGUUGUGGAGUUGUAUCAAAUAGUGGUCCUCCUAAUUGCCAUUUCCUUGUCUGUGAACUCCAAAAGGCAUUAGGAGACAUGUUGCUGUGUCUCCUCUGUUUCCACGGCGUUCCUUCUCAUGCAUUGUGGUAAAUCCAUGUUUCUUGGAUGUGUUAAGAGUACAUGUGGACGACGAGUUGCAAGUCAACACCUCAAAUGUGGAGGUCUAUGUAUCAUCAUCGUGGUUUAUGAAUGUUGUUUUGAUUUCUCACUAUUAUAUAUUGGGAAAUCACAAGACUCACUCUCUCAUUGAGCUUAACAGUUGUUGCUGAGUUGUUUUGGUGUCCGCCCAUUCCAUUUUUGGCCAUUCAUUAUUUGCCACAAAGCUUGACGUGCUGUACAAUAGUGGAAGCGUCCAGUACCAAAUCGAAAUGUACAACGAGUGCUAGUUUUUUUAACCAUGGGCUUCUUGAGACACAGAUUUAAGUAGAUCUCACAACUUGACGCCUCCGGGCCUUGAGGGAUUGGAUCUGGUUCUGAUAUUAACUGUAACGGGUCAAGUGUUUCGCGAUCUGAUCCAAAAACUUAAUCUAUUAGGUAAGGUUAAUACUUAAUCCAUAUAUACUCAUUAACUUGACCAUUCAAAUCCAACUUGGGAUAUAUGUAAUAGCUCCCCUCUAGAAAGAAAGUACCAUUUACAGUAAAUAAAUACCCUAUGUACUUCUUACAGAAAAUAACCUAACAUGUGGAACGCAUUUAAGAUAUGAAUUAAAGUGUAUUUUGCUUAAA